This 440-nucleotide ribosomal RNA is filed under the name Thauera sp. RNAcentral's name for it is "bacterial SSU rRNA". It matches the Rfam family "Bacterial small subunit ribosomal RNA", at positions 78 to 513 of the family's 1533-position model. Lineage: Bacteria; Pseudomonadati; Pseudomonadota; Betaproteobacteria; Rhodocyclales; Zoogloeaceae. The record is from RNAcentral.
CUUCGGCCUGCCGGCGAGUGGCGAACGGGUGAGUAAUGCAUCGGAACGUGCCCAUGUCGUGGGGGAUAACGUAUCGAAAGGUACGCUAAUACCGCAUACGUCCUGAGGGAGAAAGCGGGGGAUCGCAAGACCUCGCGCGAUUGGAGCGGCCGAUGUCGGAUUAGCUAGUAGGUGAGGUAAAGGCUCACCUAGGCGACGAUCCGUAGCGGGUCUGAGAGGAUGAUCCGCCACACUGGGACUGAGACACGGCCCAGACUCCUACGGGAGGCAGCAGUGGGGAAUUUUGGACAAUGGGGGCAACCCUGAUCCAGCCAUGCCGCGUGAGUGAAGAAGGCCUUCGGGUUGUAAAGCUCUUUCGGCCGGGAAGAAAUCGUGUUCUCUAACAUAGGACAUGGAUGACGGUACCGGACUAAGAAGCACCGGCUAACUACGUGCCAGCA